CUACGGGUUGCUGCAGUGGGGGAUAUUGCACAAUGGGCGAAAGCCUGAUGCAGCAACGCCGCGUGAAGGAAGACGGUUUUCGGAUUGUAAACUUCUAUCAGCUGGGAAGAAAAUGACGGUACCAGACUGAGAAGCCCCGGCUAACUAUGUGCCAGCAGCCGCGGUAAUACAUAGGGGGCAAGCGUUAUCCGGAAUUACUGGGUGUAAAGGGUACGUAGGCGGCUGAUCAAGUCAGAUGUGAAAGCCCGGAGCUCAACUCCGGGAUUGCAUUUGAAACUGGUCGGCUAGAGUGCAGGAGAGGAAAGUGGAAUUCCUAGUGUAGCGGUGAAAUGCGUAGAUAUUAGGAAGAACACCAGUGGCGAAGGCGGCUUUCUGGACUGUAACUGACGCUGAGGUACGAAAGCGUGGGGAGCGAACAGGAUUAGAUACCCCUGUAGUC
RNAcentral lists this ribosomal RNA (439 nucleotides) under uncultured bacterium. Its description in RNAcentral is "partial 16S ribosomal RNA". It matches the Rfam family "Bacterial small subunit ribosomal RNA", at positions 339 to 795 of the family's 1533-position model. The record is from RNAcentral.